CAGCAGUUCUCAGAGAAGAUGGGCACUUUCUGGAAAUUCGGUGGACAUUCACACAUGUUGAAUACACGCAGUCUGUGUACUUUAGUUCCUGGGUGUGCACAUGAGCUGCAGCAAUCCCCUGUUCAUCCUGUGCCAUCAGGAAAGAACACCUGCUUUUUAAUACCACACAGGUCCAGUAAUGGACCUGCCAAAUACAGAUUGCUGGCACUUGCUGCCAGCUAGGCCAGCCGCUCUGCUCCCUUCAUGGUCUUUUUCUCUGCUUAACAGGAGAGGAGGAGCCCUGCAACCUUCAGUGCUGCUCCCCAGGCCUGAGAGCCACCUCUCCUGGCAGAGGCAGCUCAUGCCUGAGGGUCCCAGAGCCUGCUGCCCUUCCCAUUUUCGGAGACAAACUAGCCCAGAAAACACUGAUUUUUGUUGUUGUUGUUGUUUUGUUUUUUUUAUGUGUGGGGUGCAAGUUUAAAGGCAAACUGCAGCUUUGCCCAUAACGCCACUGCAGCUGAUUAUACCUUGUUCACUGUAAGGUUAAUUCCAAUGGAAAAUGACCUGCUUCGUGGAGCCUGGGCUGUGUGUGCCCUUCUGACAUCUCAUAUGGCACAAGGUUCUUGUCUUCUGUUCCUAAAUCAUCGGAUGGUUGCCAGAUGAAAGAAGUAUGGAUGUACCUAUGUUCCAAAUGAUAUAAUCUAGGGCUACAAACACUGCUCAAAUAAUCACAGCUAAAUCCACAACAGUAGUUUAACUGAAGCAGAGUUCUUCUGUGUGGUUCUUGUUCAUCUGCAAAGGAGCUGUGCAAAAUAGGGUUAACUUGAAGAGGGACAUGUUUUGUAUUGAGAACUACUGUAAAAAACAGAUGGUCUUAAGAAGCAAGACAGAAGGCAAGAGCCUAAACUUCAGUGAGGGAAAGGUGUCUACCUUUUGUCCACCGACACCUAAUAAAACAGCCUCAGCGCGGAUUUUAAAACUACAGUGUUGCUGAUGGAGAUGGUCCUCCACUCUCCUUGGGUCUCUGCGGCUCCUCCUCUCAGACAAAGUCUGCAUCUUUUAUGUGUUAAUGGUUUUGACAUCGACCAUUUGCCUCAUUUUCAUUUUAAGCGAUGGGCAGAGUCUUCCUGCCUUUCUUCUCUGUUCUCCGAGUGCCGCACCCACUGUGAGCCGGCUCAUCAGCCUGAAAGAUGUGCGCCCGCGGUAUGUCAUGGAUGUGGCGGCCAAGGACGGGCAGCUGCUCUGCUCCGUGGUGCCGACCCUCGCCACGCAGAGGUAGGGAACGCGGGGAGCGAGCGGCGGCUGCGGGCGGGGAGCGGGGUCCUGGGCUUCGGCGAGACGCGACCCGUCGCGCCGCUGCGGAGCUGCUCACUGGUGCUGCGUGAGUGACCCGGAGGCUCGAAAGGGCUGUUCCCCCUUUACUUGCAAUAACUUUUUCAAAGCCCGUGGCUCUAAACGUUCCCGUGCCGCUGUGCUCCCUGAAAAGAGAUUCUUCCCUAUUGCAGUUGGGUACGUUCGGAGUCUGUAGGUUUUCUCUAGAAGGAGCAGCACACUUUGCACACAGAAUCACAGAAUGGCUUAAGCUGAAAGGGACCUUUAAGCCCAUCCAGUCGGCAGGGCUGCCACCCAUCAGACGAGGCUGUCUGUUCCGUUCAACCUGGCCCCGAGUGCCUUCAGGGAUGGGGCACCCACAGCUUCUCUGGGAUGCCGAGAGAGAAUGCAGGAGAAAUGGCAGUGGGAGGAAAGUGCUGGACACGGCACUCCAUUCCCAGGCUGCUCUUAUUUAUUCUCAGGCAACAGGUGAGGGAUUGUCCUGAGGAACAGGGAGUGUCUGUGCCCUCACUGAAGAUGAAGCGGCUCCCUCAUCCCUCAGGACUCUCUCACCUGCCAGCGCUGUAUGUUUGUUUUUCUUCCUUCCUUAACCUCACAAGAGAGACACUGUGAUUAAGUAUAUGCUGUACCGAUGCACUGACCACAGAGCAAAGCAUGCACCCUGCAGACAUUUCCUGCGUUGUGAACUGGUGGCAUCAUAUCACACCUCUGGGCAGAUAGAAGAAGACCCCCGAGGGCAUUGGUGCAGGAUGAAGGGUGUGCCACUGACAUACUGCUGGGAGGACUAAUGGGGAGCCAGGGGCACACUGCAUCUGAGGAGCAGAUAAUAAGCCAAACAGAGGAAGCUUUAGUUCAGCAUAAAUUGACUUGAUAUGCUGCACAUUGUCUGUACCUUCUCUCACAGCGCUACUCAGUCUCCUGCUCCAAUAAGGGGGAAAUGAGCACAGGAGAAUGGCAGAAACUGAAGAAUAAUUCUGACACAGGAACAAGUGGCUGUUAAAAAGUUUAGGCUGUGUUUUUGAGUGGUUUCUACUUGCCAGAGAAAGGUCAUGGAACA
Molecule: long non-coding RNA, 2368 nt
Filed under: Coturnix japonica (Japanese quail)
Lineage: Eukaryota; Metazoa; Chordata; Aves; Galliformes; Phasianidae
Description: lncRNA (ENSCJPG00005001203.1)
Source: RNAcentral